AAAGUCUUAAAUCUUCAAUAAGUGGCGUUGAAUAAACAUCAAUGUCGUUCCCUGGUUGUUUUGGACCCGAAAUUAUCAUCGAUAACAUCAUAUACUCACGCUUCAUGCAUAAUCAUGGAGAUAAGUUGUAAAGUAUGAGAAGAACAUGCCAUGUCAUAUGGUUAGUACUCAAAUUACCAAAAGGGUUCAUUCCUUUGGUGGCAAGUCCAAGCCUAAGAUUCCUCGGUUUAAAGGAAAAAUCUUGAUACAAUGAAUCAAUUUUCUUC
RNAcentral lists this long non-coding RNA (266 nucleotides) under Lathyrus oleraceus (garden pea). RNAcentral describes it as "Pisum sativum (pea) long non-coding RNA (PSAT_LNC033685)". The record is from RNAcentral. Lineage: Eukaryota; Viridiplantae; Streptophyta; Magnoliopsida; Fabales; Fabaceae.